CCCUUAGAUGUUCUGGGCCGCACGCGCGCUACACUGACGAAGUCAGCGAGCAUCUCCUUCGCCGAAAGGUGCGGGGAAUCUUGUGAAACUUUGUCGUGCUGGGGAUUGAUUUUUGAAAUUCUUGAUCAUCAACGAGGAAUUCCUAGUAAGCGCAAGUCAGCAGCUUGCGUUGAUUACGUCCCUGCCCUUUGUACACACCGCCCGUCGCUACUACCGAUUGGGUGUGCUGGUGAAAUGUUCGGAUCGGCCGUUUGUCGCGGUUUCCGCGUCAUGUGGCUGAGAAGUUCAUUAAACCCUCCCACCUAGAGGAAGGAGAAGUCGUAACA
This 326-nucleotide ribosomal RNA is filed under the name uncultured eukaryote. RNAcentral describes it as "partial 18S ribosomal RNA". It matches the Rfam family "Eukaryotic small subunit ribosomal RNA", at positions 1470 to 1796 of the family's 1831-position model. The record is from RNAcentral.